Homarus americanus (American lobster) is the source of this 1969-nucleotide long non-coding RNA. RefSeq lists it as uncharacterized. The record is from RefSeq and is a predicted model, not a curated record. The transcript has 2 exons. NCBI's taxonomy places the organism in Eukaryota, Metazoa, Arthropoda, Malacostraca, Decapoda, Nephropidae.
UAAUAAAUAUACUGGUGGAACAGGUAAGUCAUAAUAUUGUUAGCCUAGGUAUUGAUUGCCACUCUGAAACAAACUUAACUCUGUUUUUUCUGAGGCUUGCUACGAUUUGAGGUGGUUGUAGCUAGUCGGUAUCACUGCUAAUAAUUGCCCCACAAUUUUUGGAUUUUCUUAAUAUACCUAUCUUAUAGUUGAGACAAUGUUAAGACACUAAUCAUUGUGUCGCAAAUGACAUGGGACAGAGAUGUUUAAUAUUCUUCUGGGUGGUCCAGGGUGGCAGAGGCCUCCCGUUGGUAAUGAAGUUAGGUUAGGUGGGUUUGGUUACUGUUAUAAACUACGUUAUUUUUGAUGGUAAUGAAGGUCAUAAUAUGUAGCUUACUAUAGAAUUCCUCAUGUUCUUUUUCGUUAAUUUUGAGUCAUCAAAUGAUUUAAUUUCAUAUUUGGUAUACACAUUAAUAUGCAAAUCUUACUGUUAGGCUUAUAGGCAAUGGUGUUCUAUCUUAUGCUUUUACAACUAAUACAGGCUGAAAAAUUAUGGCUGCUAUUAUUAUUUUUGACUUAUUUUACCAUUUAUUGUUUGUUACCAUAAAUCUAAUUAACUUUUGACAUAGAUAGAGGAGAAUUUGGGGGGCUACAGCUACAAUGAUAGGUUAGGUUGUAAUGUUUUGAACUAUUUUAAUAGAUUCCUUUCUAACAUAGUAGUGUACAUAUAACAUAGUUGUGUACAGUGUAUGUAACCACAGCUCACAGUAAGAAAGUUUGAAUUGUUUUUUUUUCUCUUGAAGGAGGCGGCCUCCAAAUUGAAAACACCCUGUACAUACACUGCAAUUGACGAAGCAGUUCUUCAACUCUUAGAUCCAGCCUUUAUUCAUGGGAUUCCAGCGAUUUUGGAAAGUGAAGAACUUAUUGAUGAAGAAGGAAGAGAACAAACCCCAGGACCCUCAGGAGCUAGGUUUACUGCUGUUCAUUCCAGCGAGGAAUCUAUGUUGGGGCCCAUUCAAAAGAAAGAGGAUUCUCUAACCAUCUUGCUGACUGAGGAUAUACACACUUGUUAACUAAUAACACGUGUUGCAGUGCUACUAGGAUAAUGUUUACCCAGGUUUUGGGUAAAAGUUCACACCACAAUCAAAUGUAUAGCUUUGAAAACAGACACGUGUACUUAUUUUUAUUUUUUAAAGGUUCCUUUAUUUUGGUAAUACGUAGUUAAUUUCCAGUUCAACCUGUUUAAUUAAUUAGUUUGUAUGAUUCAAGUAGGUUGAAACAGAAAUAAUGGUGCAAAUUCACCAACAGCCUACUGUAAUCACUGCUAUUUAGCACACAUUAUUCUCCAAAGAGCAAGUUGUUGCAUUGGUUCUUUCAUAAGGAUGUGCUGUCUCAUGCUAAAUUGUAUAGCUUAACAAGCCAAGAGUUUGCUAUUUGUUUACUUUAUUACUUAUAGUAGUACAGUAUUUGGUUAUAAGUUUACUUUAAUAUACGGGUGUUGAUGCAGGUACAUUCUAGUCAUGAGAGUUCCUUCAGUAAUUCUAGACAUAUGAAAAUUAUACUGUAUUCCAUUUUUAAAUCUUAAAAAUGGCAACAAUUAACAGUAGUUGUAUUAAUUUUUCACAACGAUGUGGUGACUCAUGUCAAAUUGUGUAGUUUAAGAAGCAAACAGUGGCAAUAUUUUUUUAUUGUUUCAAUUUCUCAAAUAUGUUUUAUAUAAUGAUUUUUGUUUUCACAAACUUCAGUGCCUUUGGUAUUUAGUAGUAUUAAAAGUAUACUGUAUUGGAAUCAAAUUGCUCAAGGAUAUAGUACAUACUUUAUUUUCCUAUAUAAAAUGCUUAUCUUAUGAAGGUAAAAGAAAGCCAUUUAUUUUCUGUAUUUUCAAUAAAGAAGUUCAUUUUAUUAUGUACAGUAUAUUGAAAAUAAAAGUUAAUUCAAUGUAUGCUUUAUUAGCAUUACCUCUAUACUGCAAUAAAAAAUAAUUAUUAAA